This 370-nucleotide ribosomal RNA is filed under the name uncultured bacterium. RNAcentral describes it as "partial 16S ribosomal RNA". It matches the Rfam family "Bacterial small subunit ribosomal RNA", at positions 338 to 700 of the family's 1533-position model. The record is from RNAcentral.
CCUACGGGAGGCAGCAGUAGGGAAUCUUCCACAAUGGGCGAAAGCCUGAUGGAGCAACGCCGCGUGGGUGAAGAAGGUCUUCGGAGCGUAAAACCCUGUUGUUAGAGAAGAAAGAGCGGGAGAGUAACUGUUCACGUAUCGACGGUAUCGAACCAGAAAGCCACGGCUAACUACGUGCCAGCAGCCGCGGUAAUACGUAGGUGGCAAGCGUUAUCCGGAUUUAUUGGGCGUAAAGGGAACGCAGGCGGUCUUUUAAGUCUGAUGUGAAAGCCUUCGGCUUAACCGGAGGAGGGCAUUGGAAACUGGGAGACUUGAGUGCAGCAGAGUAGAGUUGAACUCCAUGUGUAGCGGUGUCAUGCGUAGAUAUCUG